GAAUAGAAAGAAUUAUUUUUUUUUUUAUUAAUUAUUUAUUAAUAAAAAUAUUUUUUUUAUUUAUUAUAUGUAAGAAAAAUAAGAAUUUAUUAUAGUAAAUUUGUAUUGUGAAAGAUAUUUUUAUAUAAUUAAAAUAAAAAUUAAAAUUUUGUACCUUGUGUAUCAGGGUUUAUUAAAAAUAGUUUAAUUAUUUAAUAAUCUCGAAUUUAAAUGGGUUAAUUUAUUAUAAAUUUUAAUGUAAAAUAAUUAUUUAUAAUAAUAAAUUAGUAAUGAAAUGUUAUUCGUAUUUAAAUAUAUCUAGUUUUUAAAGAAAAAAAUUUAAUUUUGUUUAAUAUAUUAAUUUUAUUAUUUUUUUAAUAAAAUUUUAUUUUAAAAAAAUUUUAAAAGGGAUAAGCUUUUUAAAAUAUUUAUAUAAUUAAUAAAAUUAAAAAUAAUAUAUAAAAUUAAAAUUAUUUAAAUUUAAUAAAAUGUUAUAAUAAAAUUAUUUAUUAUAUUUAUUUUUUAUAUAUAAUUUAUAUUAAAUAUUUAAAAAAUUUUAAAAAUUAAAAUUAAAAUGAUAUAAUGAUAAAAUUAGUAAAAUUAAAAUUAAUUAAUAUAGUUAAAUAUAAUUAAAUUUAAGGAAUUCGGCAAAAUUAUUGUUCACCUGUUUAUUAAAAACAUGGCCUUUUGAUGAUAAUUUAAGGUCUGAUCUGCCCACUGAAAUUUUUAAAUGGCCGCAGUAUUUUGACUGUGCUAAGGUAGCAUAAUAAAUAGUUUUUUAAUUGAAAGCUGGUAUGAAUGAUUGGAUGAGAUAUAAGCUGUCUUAGAUUUAUAUAAAUUGAAUUUUAUUUUUAAGUUAAAAAGCUUAAAUAAAGUUAAAAGACGAGAAGACCCUAUAGAGUUUAAUAAAAGUUUUUAUUAUAAUUUUUUAUAUAUUAUAUAUUUUAAUAAAAAUUUUUA
Molecule: ribosomal RNA, 939 nt
Filed under: Balanophorus sp. NLG-2013
Lineage: Eukaryota; Metazoa; Arthropoda; Insecta; Coleoptera; Melyridae
Description: partial 16S ribosomal RNA
Source: RNAcentral